This 2903-nucleotide ribosomal RNA is filed under the name Escherichia coli. RNAcentral's name for it is "23S ribosomal RNA". It matches the Rfam family "Bacterial large subunit ribosomal RNA". The record is from RNAcentral. Lineage: Bacteria; Pseudomonadati; Pseudomonadota; Gammaproteobacteria; Enterobacterales; Enterobacteriaceae.
GGUUAAGCGACUAAGCGUACACGGUGGAUGCCCUGGCAGUCAGAGGCGAUGAAGGACGUGCUAAUCUGCGAUAAGCGUCGGUAAGGUGAUAUGAACCGUUAUAACCGGCGAUUUCCGAAUGGGGAAACCCAGUGUGUUUCGACACACUAUCAUUAACUGAAUCCAUAGGUUAAUGAGGCGAACCGGGGGAACUGAAACAUCUAAGUACCCCGAGGAAAAGAAAUCAACCGAGAUUCCCCCAGUAGCGGCGAGCGAACGGGGAGCAGCCCAGAGCCUGAAUCAGUGUGUGUGUUAGUGGAAGCGUCUGGAAAGGCGCGCGAUACAGGGUGACAGCCCCGUACACAAAAAUGCACAUGCUGUGAGCUCGAUGAGUAGGGCGGGACACGUGGUAUCCUGUCUGAAUAUGGGGGGACCAUCCUCCAAGGCUAAAUACUCCUGACUGACCGAUAGUGAACCAGUACCGUGAGGGAAAGGCGAAAAGAACCCCGGCGAGGGGAGUGAAAAAGAACCUGAAACCGUGUACGUACAAGCAGUGGGAGCACGCUUAGGCGUGUGACUGCGUACCUUUUGUAUAAUGGGUCAGCGACUUAUAUUCUGUAGCAAGGUUAACCGAAUAGGGGAGCCGAAGGGAAACCGAGUCUUAACUGGGCGUUAAGUUGCAGGGUAUAGACCCGAAACCCGGUGAUCUAGCCAUGGGCAGGUUGAAGGUUGGGUAACACUAACUGGAGGACCGAACCGACUAAUGUUGAAAAAUUAGCGGAUGACUUGUGGCUGGGGGUGAAAGGCCAAUCAAACCGGGAGAUAGCUGGUUCUCCCCGAAAGCUAUUUAGGUAGCGCCUCGUGAAUUCAUCUCCGGGGGUAGAGCACUGUUUCGGCAAGGGGGUCAUCCCGACUUACCAACCCGAUGCAAACUGCGAAUACCGGAGAAUGUUAUCACGGGAGACACACGGCGGGUGCUAACGUCCGUCGUGAAGAGGGAAACAACCCAGACCGCCAGCUAAGGUCCCAAAGUCAUGGUUAAGUGGGAAACGAUGUGGGAAGGCCCAGACAGCCAGGAUGUUGGCUUAGAAGCAGCCAUCAUUUAAAGAAAGCGUAAUAGCUCACUGGUCGAGUCGGCCUGCGCGGAAGAUGUAACGGGGCUAAACCAUGCACCGAAGCUGCGGCAGCGACACUGUGUGUUGUUGGGUAGGGGAGCGUUCUGUAAGCCUGUGAAGGUGUGCUGUGAGGCAUGCUGGAGGUAUCAGAAGUGCGAAUGCUGACAUAAGUAACGAUAAAGCGGGUGAAAAGCCCGCUCGCCGGAAGACCAAGGGUUCCUGUCCAACGUUAAUCGGGGCAGGGUGAGUCGACCCCUAAGGCGAGGCCGAAAGGCGUAGUCGAUGGGAAACAGGUUAAUAUUCCUGUACUUGGUGUUACUGCGAAGGGGGGACGGAGAAGGCUAUGUUGGCCGGGCGACGGUUGUCCCGGUUUAAGCGUGUAGGCUGGUUUUCCAGGCAAAUCCGGAAAAUCAAGGCUGAGGCGUGAUGACGAGGCACUACGGUGCUGAAGCAACAAAUGCCCUGCUUCCAGGAAAAGCCUCUAAGCAUCAGGUAACAUCAAAUCGUACCCCAAACCGACACAGGUGGUCAGGUAGAGAAUACCAAGGCGCUUGAGAGAACUCGGGUGAAGGAACUAGGCAAAAUGGUGCCGUAACUUCGGGAGAAGGCACGCUGAUAUGUAGGUGAAGUCCCUCGCGGAUGGAGCUGAAAUCAGUCGAAGAUACCAGCUGGCUGCAACUGUUUAUUAAAAACACAGCACUGUGCAAACACGAAAGUGGACGUAUACGGUGUGACGCCUGCCCGGUGCCGGAAGGUUAAUUGAUGGGGUUAGCGCAAGCGAAGCUCUUGAUCGAAGCCCCGGUAAACGGCGGCCGUAACUAUAACGGUCCUAAGGUAGCGAAAUUCCUUGUCGGGUAAGUUCCGACCUGCACGAAUGGCGUAAUGAUGGCCAGGCUGUCUCCACCCGAGACUCAGUGAAAUUGAACUCGCUGUGAAGAUGCAGUGUACCCGCGGCAAGACGGAAAGACCCCGUGAACCUUUACUAUAGCUUGACACUGAACAUUGAGCCUUGAUGUGUAGGAUAGGUGGGAGGCUUUGAAGUGUGGACGCCAGUCUGCAUGGAGCCGACCUUGAAAUACCACCCUUUAAUGUUUGAUGUUCUAACGUUGACCCGUAAUCCGGGUUGCGGACAGUGUCUGGUGGGUAGUUUGACUGGGGCGGUCUCCUCCUAAAGAGUAACGGAGGAGCACGAAGGUUGGCUAAUCCUGGUCGGACAUCAGGAGGUUAGUGCAAUGGCAUAAGCCAGCUUGACUGCGAGCGUGACGGCGCGAGCAGGUGCGAAAGCAGGUCAUAGUGAUCCGGUGGUUCUGAAUGGAAGGGCCAUCGCUCAACGGAUAAAAGGUACUCCGGGGAUAACAGGCUGAUACCGCCCAAGAGUUCAUAUCGACGGCGGUGUUUGGCACCUCGAUGUCGGCUCAUCACAUCCUGGGGCUGAAGUAGGUCCCAAGGGUAUGGCUGUUCGCCAUUUAAAGUGGUACGCGAGCUGGGUUUAGAACGUCGUGAGACAGUUCGGUCCCUAUCUGCCGUGGGCGCUGGAGAACUGAGGGGGGCUGCUCCUAGUACGAGAGGACCGGAGUGGACGCAUCACUGGUGUUCGGGUUGUCAUGCCAAUGGCACUGCCCGGUAGCUAAAUGCGGAAGAGAUAAGUGCUGAAAGCAUCUAAGCACGAAACUUGCCCCGAGAUGAGUUCUCCCUGACCCUUUAAGGGUCCUGAAGGAACGUUGAAGACGACGACGUUGAUAGGCCGGGUGUGUAAGCGCAGCGAUGCGUUGAGCUAACCGGUACUAAUGAACCGUGAGGCUUAACCUU